GCGCCGACCUCGCCCAGGACGACGUGGCGCGCUCGCGGUUCCUGCGCGAGCUCGAGGCGGUCAAGCGGGUGGCGCGGUUCUGCACCGCGCAGGUGCUC
This 98-nucleotide transfer RNA is filed under the name Actinoallomurus iriomotensis. RNAcentral's name for it is "tRNA-Gly". The record is from RNAcentral. Lineage: Bacteria; Bacillati; Actinomycetota; Actinomycetes; Streptosporangiales; Thermomonosporaceae.